ACGAGUUUGAUCCUGGCUCAGAUUGAACGCUGGCGGCAGGCUUAACACAUGCAAGUCGAGCGGAGACUUCGGUCUUAGUGGCGAACGGGUGAGUAAUACCUAGGAAUCUGCCUAUUAGUGGGGGAUAACGAAUCGAAAGGUUCGCUAAUACCGCAUACGUCCUACGGGAGAAAGGGGGGGAUCUUCGGACCUCUCGCUAAUAGAUGAGCCUAGGCCGGAUUAGCUAGUUGGUAGGGUAAAGGCCUACCAAGGCGACGAUCUGUAGCUGGUCUGAGAGGAUGGCCAGCCACACUGGAACUGAGACACGGUCCAGACUCCUACGGGAGGCAGCAGUGGGGAAUAUUGGACAAUGGGGGCAACCCUGAUCCAGCCAUGCCGCGUGUGUGAAGAAGGCCUUCGGGUUGUAAAGCACUUUAAGCGAGGAGGAAGGUUUUUAGUUUAAUACACUAAAGAAUUGACGUUACUCGCAGAAUAAGCACCGGUUAACUCUGUG
RNAcentral lists this ribosomal RNA (493 nucleotides) under uncultured bacterium. RNAcentral's name for it is "bacterial SSU rRNA". It matches the Rfam family "Bacterial small subunit ribosomal RNA", at positions 1 to 507 of the family's 1533-position model. The record is from RNAcentral.